GGACAGAUGGCCGAGUGGUCUAAGGCGCUGCGUUUAGGCCGCAGUCUUCACGGGCGUGGGUGUAAGUUUACUCAACUCAACAACUUUGAAUCACAGGUACUAAUAUUAACACAGUCGAAUCCCACUCUGUUCA
Molecule: transfer RNA, 133 nt
Filed under: Pyrenophora teres f. teres 0-1
Lineage: Eukaryota; Fungi; Ascomycota; Dothideomycetes; Pleosporales; Pleosporaceae
Description: tRNA-Leu (TAG) (tRNA-Leu-TAG-1-1)
Rfam family: tRNA
About the family: Transfer RNA (tRNA) molecules are approximately 80 nucleotides in length. Their secondary structure includes four short double-helical elements and three loops (D, anti-codon, and T loops).
Source: RNAcentral